AUGUCUCCCCACCCGUGGAAUAAAACCAGUCGUCUCAGUCUUCUCGGCUCGAAAGAAAAAGGAGGAGCGGGCGAGAGCGGCGGCGGCGCCGACGCCGAUAGGGAAGAACUAGGCGACGGCGAGGGGCCGGAGCGGGCGAUCUCUCCAAGUCAGCAGCAGAUCUGCGACCCUCUUCUUCCAUCCCCGGCGCGAGCUCGGCGGCCGCACCAACCUACUCCGGUGGCCCUCCCCAACGUUUCUAUGCCGGCCAGCUUCACCGCCUCACAGCUGCAGCAAGACCCCGCUUGGGGCAGCAUCGUGAAGACUAAGGUAUAUUAA
Molecule: ribosomal RNA, 318 nt
Filed under: Triticum aestivum (bread wheat)
Lineage: Eukaryota; Viridiplantae; Streptophyta; Magnoliopsida; Poales; Poaceae
Description: partial small subunit ribosomal RNA
Source: RNAcentral